GGGGCGCUGCGCACCGCGCGCAACUCGCGACAUUACGGUAGCGGCGGCGGGGCCGGGCCCCGGCGGUGAGGUGGCGGCCGGGCGGCCCGCAGGUGAGUGCCCUCCGCCGCGCCGCCGGGACCGCCGGGGGGGGGGGCUCGGCCCGGCCCCGACCCCCGCGGGGUGCCCGGCCGUUAGGUGGGGGCCUUGUGGCGCGUUCCGAGCCGGAGCGGCCGCCCGGUGCCUCAGCGGGCGCCGGGAGCCGUGCGGUAACGGCGCCGUGCCUUGGGAGCAGCGGGGAGCGCCAGCAGCCGCGUGGCUGGCCUGGGGGUAGCACCGAACUGUUCCACCCGCAGAGAUUCCCUUUGCCUCUAGGAAGUACACGAAGAGGUAAUGGCAUCUUUGCUUUUGAAAUUAUGCCGUAAGCAACAGCUACGCUUCUCCUUGGGCUCCUUCUGCAUCGAUGUAGCAGCGUAACAGCUCACAAAUUAUACUCUGAAGUUCCUUUGUCCUGCCAGUAUUGCCGCUUGAGCUCCUCAGCUUUCUGAAAGCAACCAGAAGGGUGUGUUAAUUCCAGGAAAGAAAUUAAAAUGUGCUAAAGCUUAACCGUAUAUAAAUUUGUAGUUAGUUUCUCUUUCAGUGGAUGUUCUUCUUUUGGAAGGACCUUGCUGAGCUGAGCAUUCAUUUCAUCUUUUUUUGCCUCACAGUUUUGGAAGGUCUGCAUUCCAGAGUUGCACAGAGGGAAAGCUGCAGAACAGCAGCCUUAACAUGAUUAACCUCCUGCACUUAAUCAAAGUCUGCUCUGUGAGCUACUCGGAGAAGUACCCUUGGCGACCACUCAGUGAAAUUUGUUCUUAAUGUUUCAAAGCCUUCGGCUGCUUGCAGUCAUUCUCGUUCCUCGCAGUAACGCACACAAGGACAGAACAUUCUACCAGUUGCCCUAAUUUGAAAGAAAGAUCGCAUACAGCUGCACAGUUGUCUUUGUAUGAAGCAAACAAUGGUCUGUAUGUGGAAAAUGGAUUGCAGACAACCUAAUGCUGGCCAGCGAAAGUCACCCUCCCUGGUGGUUAAAAUUUAUCUGGAAAGAUGAGAACAAGAACAACCGUUCAGAGAAAGACUUGGCAUUCCUGCAUUUAAGCUGAACAAGAGUUUAGAUUCACGUGCUGCAUAAAAUAUUUCUAAACAUAAGGAGGAUAGGGGAUCAGGGAGAAAAAGGAAGAAACUCAGGAAAGGAUGCUAGAUGGUUCUUAGAGCUAGAGCUUUACAGAAAGACACAAGCAAAAGUACUAAGCGUUAAUUAAAACAUAUCAAGAGGUGAUGGCAUUAAAAUAAUCAAGCACAAGAAAGACUGAUAGGUGUACUGAAACAGCUGAAUUUACAGUGCUAAAAUAAGGGGUUUUUUUAACCUGUUUCAUGAAGGACUUUGAGAUAACAAAGCAGUUUGUAUAAAAAAGCUGUAGGUUUUAUGGAUUCCAAAUGUAUUUUAACAUACAUCGUUGGAAAGCUUGAAAAACAGCGGUGUAGGUAAAGGUAGUGAAUAUCGCUAUACUUUGCACUGCAGUGACUCUGGAAAUGCAAACACAGGAGUAAAAGACAGUAGUGAUGAGUGUUGAUGAAGACUGGUCAAUGAAGAAAAUAGCACACAAUCAAUUUUUUGGUUUAUAACGUUCUCUUAAAUAGUUUCAUUGGAUAUGUUCAGAAACUAUUUUUAAUUUCAGGAGUUAAAAAUAUAGGAAGCUUGCCUUUUACUAGCCUUUUAAAUAAAAUCAAAUACUCUAGGAUAAAUAUUGCCA
RNAcentral lists this long non-coding RNA (1772 nucleotides) under Anser brachyrhynchus (Pink-footed goose). Its description in RNAcentral is "lncRNA (ENSABRG00000020717.1)". The record is from RNAcentral. Lineage: Eukaryota; Metazoa; Chordata; Aves; Anseriformes; Anatidae.